Molecule: long non-coding RNA, 355 nt
Filed under: Phoenix dactylifera (date palm)
Lineage: Eukaryota; Viridiplantae; Streptophyta; Magnoliopsida; Arecales; Arecaceae
Description: long non-coding RNA (PDAC_LNC022691)
Source: RNAcentral
CCGGGAAAACAAUCGGAGUGGUUCUAGUCGGUGAGCCUGGGAAAACCGACCGAGUUCGUUGUGAGCUCGUAAAACAACAAGUUCGGUUGUGAGCUUGCAAAACAACCGGCUGUAAUCCAAGGGGGUUAUAGUGAAAUUCCCAAGUGAGACUUGGGGAGUGGACGUAGGAGCAAGGGUUAGCUCCGAACCACUAUAAAACUUUGUGUUUGUAGUGCAUUGUCUCUCAUCUUCUUCCUCACACAUUACUCACAGCACUUAGCUUUAAUUAAAUAACUGGCUAUAGUAUUUAGUUAAUCAUCCACAAAGUUUUAAUUAGCUAAGUUAAUUUAAAAACCCAAUUCACCCCCCCCCCCUC